CGACGGGAGCCCCGGGCGCGGGGGGCGGGGCCUCGGGGCCGGGCGCGCGGAGGGCUCCCGGCUGUGUUCCCGCGCGUCUGCGGCUCGGCGUCAUGGCCGCCGACCGGCGCGGGAAAGCCGCGACCCUGGCCCUGAGACGGCGGCUGCUCAGCUCUUCCUGCAGGCUCUUUUUUCCUGAGGAUCCUAUUAAGAUUGUCCGGGGCCAGGGGCAGUACCUGUACGAUGAACAGGGCGCAGAAUACAUCGAUUGCAUCAACAAUGUGGCUCACGUGGGGCACUGCCACCCUCUCGUGGUCCAUGCGGCACAUGAACAGAACCAAGUGCUCAACACCAAUAGCCGAUACCUGCACGACAACAUCGUGGAUUACGCGCAGAGGCUGUCAGAGACCCUGCCAGAGAAGCUCUGUGUGUUUUAUUUCCUGAAUUCUGGGUCAGAAGCCAAUGACUUGGCCCUGAGGAUGGCCCGCCAGCACACGGGACACUGGGAUGUGGUGGUGUUAGAUCAUGCUUACCACGGUCACCUGAGCUCUCUGAUCGACAUCAGUCCCUACAAGUUCCGGGACCUGGAUGGCCAGAAGGAAUGGGUCCAUGUGGCACCUCUCCCAGACACCUACCGGGGCCCCUACCGGGAGGACCACCCCAAUCCAGCUGUGGCCUAUGCCAACGAGGUGAAACGUGUGGUCAGCAGCGCACAGGAAAAGGGCAGGAAGGUUGCGGCAUUCUUCGCCGAGUCUCUGCCCAGCGUGGGAGGGCAGAUUGUUCCCCCGGCUGGCUACUUUCCGGAAGUGGCAGAGCACAUCCACAAGGCCGGAGGGGUCUUUGUCGCAGAUGAGAUUCAGGUGGGCUUUGGCCGUGUAGGCAAGCACUUCUGGGCCUUCCAGCUCCAGGGAGAAGACUUCGUCCCCGACAUUGUUACCAUGGGCAAGUCCAUUGGCAACGGCCACCCCGUAGCCUGUGUGGCCACAACCCAAGCUGUGGCAAGGACGUUUGAGUCCACCGGCGUCGAGUACUUCAACACGUUUGGGGGCAGCCCUGUGUCCUGUGCCGUGGGGCUGGCCGUCCUGGAUGUCUUGGAGAAGGAGCAGCUGCAGGCUCACGCUGCCUCUGUGGGUAGCUACUUGAUGGAGCUUCUCCGGCAGCAAAAAGCCAAACAUCCCAUCAUUGGGGACGUCAGGGGCAUUGGGCUCUUCAUUGGUGUGGAUCUGAUCAAAGAUGAGGCCACAAGGACGCCAGCAACCAAAGAGGCUGAUUACUUGGUGUCCAGGUGGCCAUGCCACCAGUGGGAUGGCCCUGCAGCUAGCCUGACUUCCUCCACCCCACAGCCACCUGGAAAUCCACUAAGGAAAACUGGAAGUUCCACCUGCAGUCACCCUGCUAGUAGGCAGCAGAGCUGGGUUUGAGUCCAGACCCUGUUCUUUCCACCACAGCUGUAGUCAGUGCAGGUAGAAGGGGAUGGGAGCAAGGUGCCAGAAGGCAGACCGAGUUCCCAAAGACCCCCACUCCAGGCAAAUUAAAUGGGAGCAGGGAUCAGCGUGUAAAUCACAUCAGACCCCUUCUCUCAGUGGCCUAAAUACCUUCCUAGGUUUAAAGUAUAAAUGUGGAGAACUAAUGAUUUUUAUGUACUGAUGUAAAGAGGGUAAAAUCAUCUCCCUGAGAACCAGAAAUUAAGUGAGUAGUCCCAUCUGGGAGUGCCAGAUGACUGUGGGCAGGGAGCAGGAAUGAGGUUGGCAGGGGAGUUACUGGAACUGGGUGAAGGGUACAUGGGGUUCACUAUCUGUUAUGUGGGGCAUUUUCCAUGAAGUAUACUAUACACAUCACAUAGCCACAGGAGAUGGAAAAUGCAGGAACUCUCACCCCUCCAUGGCAGUCCUGGCUUGGCUUAGGCUGGGGCUGCAGGGAUGGCUGAGGAAAGAUCCCUGCUUUGGGGAGCAGCAGGCUCAUGGCCUGCUGAUCACAAAAGCCCAAGUCACAAGGCCAAGGCCAGGCCGAGGAAGGCCUUUAAGACUAUGUGAAGGGCUCCUGGCUGCUUAUCCUGUCUUUACAGGCUGAAGGAGAACCACAUUUUGCUGAGCACUGAUGGCCCUGGGAGAAACGUCCUCAAGUUUAAGCCCCCAAUGUGCUUCAGCUUGGACAACGCACAACAUGUGGUGGCAAAGAUGGAUGCCAUCCUGACAGACAUGGAAGCAAACAUGCGAAGUUGUACCACACUGCAGCCCCAGCUCUGAGGCAGCCCUGCUGGGUCACGUCCUCCAG
RNA transcript from Manis pentadactyla (Chinese pangolin), 2253 nucleotides. It is a transcript of the gene named 5-phosphohydroxy-L-lysine phospho-lyase, with no coding region annotated. The transcript has 12 exons. The record is from RefSeq and is a predicted model, not a curated record. NCBI's taxonomy places the organism in Eukaryota, Metazoa, Chordata, Mammalia, Pholidota, Manidae.